Passer montanus (Eurasian tree sparrow) is the source of this 1238-nucleotide long non-coding RNA. RefSeq lists it as uncharacterized. NCBI's taxonomy places the organism in Eukaryota, Metazoa, Chordata, Aves, Passeriformes, Passeridae. The transcript has 4 exons. The record is from RefSeq and is a predicted model, not a curated record.
GCUCGCGCCUGUACAGGAGCGGACAUUUCCCAUCAAGCCCUUGCCACAGGAUGUCCGAGAGCAUCGCUACCUCCCUGCCAUAAAAACAAACCACUCAUCAGCUCCGCUCGGUGUGUGCCAUCGAGAGAAGUCGCCGCGGUGCGAACGGGCACCAUCUGUCCUGCCAUUCCUGGAGACGCAGAUAUAUUUCUUUAGACAGGGCACGUUCAGGGAAGCCUGCCUGCCUCCUGCACUUCCACACGGUAUCGAGUGGUCAUCUCCCCACCAACCUCCCAAAAAAAAAAAAGAGCAAACCAAACCAACAACAGACACCACCACCAAAAAAGAAACCUCAAAUGCGCCGUGUGAUCCCAACUUGGAGUUAAAGUCGGUGCUAACACGGUGGCCGGUCCUGCUGCAUCUGAUCGGGUUUGUGUGUGCGCGCGAGUGAGAGCGAGCCACGCAGAGAGCGCUGCCAUCCGAAAGGGGAAAGAAGAGCUCAAGCUGAGAGACUUAUUAAUUGCUAAGAGCUGCUCUGCCACCAGCCAUUUUGAGUUUGCACGAUUUAUUCCUCAUGAAGAGGAGGAAUGAAACGUGGGCAAACGCGGGGGAGAAAAUGUGCCGGCCAAGAGGAAGGAAGGAAGGAGUGGUGAAGGGAGAGGAGGAGGGUUUGUUAAGCGAUCGCCUUGUCCCCUGAGUCCGAGCCGGCUGGGAAUUAGUAACAGCGAGAUAGCGGAGGUUGUAUCCCUCCCUCUUCCUCCGCUUUCCCUUUCCUGGAGCGCUCAGACCCCCUGACAAUUAUUACCCUGGUAUCAACGCGGACAACGAGCUGUAUUCAUCAAACCUCAUUUGGGGAAAUUGAAAGGGAAUUAAAAAUAAAUAAAUAGAGAGAGAAAGAGAGAGAGAGAUCACGCGGGGAUAGGGGGUUUGAUCGCUCCGCGUACAGCAAUGACUGUCCGUCAGCUCCCAGCCCGCUGUGCAGGCAGGUAGAAAGCGCCCGCAGAGCAGCCCAGUCCAGCGGGCUGAGCGUGCGAUUUUGGGCGGGGGGGAGGGGGAGAGAGAGCCCCGGGCCCUCGCCCCCACCGCCUCUUCCCCAGCGAAGGGGCAACGAGGGGCACGGGGGGCGACAGGCAGCGCCUUCCCGGCAGUGCCAGACCCCGGCGUGGCACAGCGCGCGAACCCAAACCCCACGCAGCAGGCAGGGCACGGCACGUGGGUCUGGGGGAUUGCACAGCUGUUUCCUGAGCUGGCAAAAAAAU